RNAcentral lists this ribosomal RNA (800 nucleotides) under uncultured bacterium. Its description in RNAcentral is "bacterial SSU rRNA". It matches the Rfam family "Bacterial small subunit ribosomal RNA", at positions 8 to 802 of the family's 1533-position model. The record is from RNAcentral.
AGAGUUUGAUCCUGGCUCAGAACGAACGCUGGCGGCGCGCCUAAUACAUGCAAGUCGAGCGAGAAGGUGUAGCAAUACACUUGUAAAGCGGCGAACGGGUGAGGAAUGCAUGGGUAACCUACCCUCGAGUGGGGAAUAACUAGCCGAAAGGUUAGCUAAUACCGCAUACGUUUCCGGAACUUCGGUUUCGGAAAGAAAGCAAUACCGUGGGUAUUGCGCUCAUGGAUGGGCUCAUGUCCUAUCAGCUUGUUGGUGAGGUAACGGCUCACCAAGGCUUCGACGGGUAGCUGGUCUGAGAGGACGAUCAGCCACACUGGCACUGCGACACGGGCCAGACUCCUACGGGAGGCAGCAGUAAGGAAUAUUGCGCAAUGGACGAAAGUCUGACGCAGCGACGCCGCGUGGGGGAUGAAGGUCUUCGGAUUGUAAACCCCUUUCGGGAGGGAAGAUGGAGUGGGUAACCACUUGGACGGUACCUCCAGAAGCAGCCACGGCUAACUUCGUGCCAGCAGCCGCGGUAAUACGAAGGUGGCAAGCGUUGUUCGGAUUCACUGGGCGUACAGGGAGCGUAGGCGGUUGGGUAAGCCCUCCGUGAAAUCUCCGGGCCUAACCCGGAAAGUGCAGAGGGGACUGCUCAGCUAGAGGAUGGGAGAGGAGCGCGGAAUUCCCGGUGUAGCGGUGAAAUGCGUAGAGAUCGGGAGGAAGGCCGGUGGCGAAGGCGGCGCUCUGGAACAUUUCUGACGCUGAGGCUCGAAAGCGUGGGGAGCAAACAGGAUUAGAUACCCUGGUAGUCCACGCCU